AAUACAGAAAAUGCAAGCGUUAUUCAUUUUAUUAGGCGUAAAGCGUUUUAAGGUUUUAUAUUAAUUUUAUGUUUAAAUAUUUAAAUUAAAUUAAAAUAAAUUAAUAAAUAAUAAUAUAAUAGAGUAUUAUAAAAGUAUUAAGAAUUUUUUGAGAAGUAGUGAAAUACAAUGAUACAAAAAAGAAUAUCAAAGGCGAAAGCAUAAUACUAUAUAAUUACUGACACUUAAAAACGAAAGCUAAGGUAGCAAAUAGGAUUAGAUACCCUAGUAGUCUUAGCUGUAAACUAUGAAUAUUUUAUAUUUAUAUUUUAUAAAUAUAAUAACUAACGUGAUAAAUAUUCCGCCUGAGUAGUAUAUUCGCAAGAAUGAAAUUCAAAGGAAUUGACGGGAGCUUAUACAAGUGGUGGAACAUGUGGCUUAAUUCGAUGCAACACGAUAAACCUUACCAAAAUUUAACAAUAUUUUUAAUAUUAAGAAAUUAAUAUUUUAAUAAAAUAUAUAGGUAGUGCAUGGCUGUCGUCAGUUCGUGCUGUGAAGUGUUAAUUUUAGUAUUAUAACGAACGUAACCUUUUAUAAAAAAAAUUUUUAUAAUAAAUAAUAAUAAAGAUUACGUCAAGUCAUUAUGCUCCUUAUAUUUUGGGCUGCUCACGUGUUACAUAAAAUAUUACAAUAUUUUAUUAUAUGUUAAAUAUAAUAAUUAAAAUAUAUUUAUAGUUCAGAUUAUAAAUUGAAACUCAUUUAUAUAAAGAUGGAAUCACUAGUAAUCGCUAAUCAGAAUUAUAGCGGUGAAUAAGUUCUUAAGCUUUGUACACACCGCCCGUCACAUCUAAAAAGUAUCAUAUUAUAUAAAAAUUAUUGUUAAAUAAUAAUAUAUAAUUAUAUAAUUUAGAUGAAGUCGUAACAAGGUAGCCGUACUGGAAGGUGCGGCUG
RNAcentral lists this ribosomal RNA (930 nucleotides) under Plasmodium falciparum 318.1. RNAcentral describes it as "bacterial SSU rRNA". It matches the Rfam family "Bacterial small subunit ribosomal RNA", at positions 522 to 1520 of the family's 1533-position model. The record is from RNAcentral. Lineage: Eukaryota; Apicomplexa; Aconoidasida; Haemosporida; Plasmodiidae.